RNAcentral lists this ribosomal RNA (498 nucleotides) under uncultured bacterium. Its description in RNAcentral is "partial 16S ribosomal RNA". It matches the Rfam family "Bacterial small subunit ribosomal RNA", at positions 28 to 523 of the family's 1533-position model. The record is from RNAcentral.
GAUGAACGCUAGCGGCAGGCCUAAUACAUGCAAGUCGAACGAUAUUUUCCAGCUUGCUGGGAGAGAAAGUGGCGCACGGGUGCGUAACGCGUAUGCAACCUACCUUUAUCAGGGGGAUAGCCCGGAGAAAUCCGGAUUAAUACCGCAUAAAAUCACAGAACGGCAUUGUUCAAUGAUCAAACAUUUAUGGGAUAAAGAUGGGCAUGCGUGUCAUUAGCUAGUUGGCGGGGUAACGGCCCACCAAGGCGACGAUGACUAGGGGAUCUGAGAGGAUGGCCCGCCGAACUGGUACUUAGACACGGACCAGACUCCUACGGGAGGCAGCAGUAAGGAAUAUUGGUCAAUGGAGGCGACUCUGAACCAGCCAUGCCGCGUGCAGGAAGACCGCCCUAUGGGUUGUAAACUGCUUUGAUCCGGGAAUAAACCUCCGAUCGUGAUCGGAGCUGAAUGUACCGGAAGAAUAAGGAUCGGCUAACUCCGUGCCAGCCGCCGCGGUAA